This 764-nucleotide long non-coding RNA is filed under the name Numida meleagris (helmeted guineafowl). Its description in RNAcentral is "lncRNA (ENSNMEG00000008540.1)". Lineage: Eukaryota; Metazoa; Chordata; Aves; Galliformes; Numididae. The record is from RNAcentral.
UGAAGUUUUGGUCAGUAACCAGUGGAGUUUGAGAAGCUCUGAGGGUAAUAAAUCACUUCCUGUUUUCCUGCCAUGUCCCUUGCCACCCUAAUGCAUGGAACUGGGUAUGCCUCAGAGCUAGUAGCUAGUGCUAUUGGAUGUUGCUGUGCCACCCUAAAUUUCUCACUUUGGAAAGUGCUUGGGUCCUGAGCUGUAUUUAACAGCUGAGUUGGAGGGGAAGCUAGGGGUCAUUGAUCUCAGGGUCUCAAUGGAGGUAUCAAAAUAUUUACUAUGAAAAGGCAAGGGAAGUGCAGUAGACCUCUGAGAGUUGUAUGGUAGGAAUGUAGUCCUGGCCCCGCUGCUGACUUUGUGCUUGACAUUUUACAGGCCUGACUCCCUGUUUGCGCUGUCCUUUGUGUGUACACUUCUGAGGAAAAGGGUUCUUGUACACUCUCUAUGGAGCACCCAGACCAAAGGGGUCCUGAUUCUAGUGUUGGUCAAGCAAGAAUCUGCUGAUAUUUCAUUGUCUGUAAUGGCUACCUGGGUGAUCUUUCAUACUAAACAUCUCAGUUAACCUCCUCCAUAGGUAAGGAUGUGCUUGUAGGCUCCUAUUUCAUAAUAUAUAUAUAUAUAUUCAUAUAUAUAUGAAUAUGCAUUCCCUUUGCUACUCUGUGCAAGAUGUAGAAAUAGGAAAUCAAUCAUGGGGAAGGAGCUGAGUGAUUUUUGAAGGUCUGCACAGUGAUCCUUUGCACUCUUAUGGCUGUGUAGAAAUGACAGGAAAAUAU